This is a long non-coding RNA of Anguilla rostrata (American eel), 1081 nucleotides long. RefSeq lists it as uncharacterized. The transcript has 3 exons. Lineage: Eukaryota; Metazoa; Chordata; Actinopteri; Anguilliformes; Anguillidae. The record is from RefSeq and is a predicted model, not a curated record.
GUAACGUUGUGUUUUCUCAAUGCACUUCAUUCAGAUUUUAUCUCGUCCCAUAUCGCAGUUAAUCGGCACGGUUUUCAUGCAAGAGCACGGAAGAAAGGCUGAGAAGAAAAGUAAUUGAACUGGCUUGUCAACACUACGCAUCCCCUGUCAAAGUGGCGAGGCAGGUUUGCUCAUUGAAAGAAGCAAAUAUUGAGAAAGGGAUGAAACGGUUCCUAAGAGCUUCGCAGCACCGCAGUUCACUGCCCGAAACCCACCCCAUCAGUCAGCUGACUAAAGGUGCUUCACUCUGGCUGAUGGUCUCUGCGGUCUCGAAUGCUGAGUCACAGAAGCAGGAAUUCCUUGUGCGCCCUCUGCUGGUGGCUUGGCGCGACUACAUCUCGAUGGUGGCUGCGAGGCGGAGACAGAGAGCCGCUUCGGUUGGCAGGUCUUCCCGGCUGAUCUCGUUCCCGUCCAGCCUCAGCACCUUCAGGUGCGAGAAGUGCACCAUGUCCACCACACUGCACAGGCUGCCCAACGUGAACUCUGAGAAGACAUUUAAGAUUAAUCGCAAAAAGGGAAACCCAAAACUUAAUUUGAUGUAAAAACAAAUACGAGAAAACCUAAGAAGACUAUAUGAAACGGGUGACUUUUUAACCAUGUUUUAAGCUUGAUAACCUUGAAAAAAAGGGUCAGUCACAUUAAUACAGUUGGACUUUACAGGUGAAAAUAUAAGGAAUGUAUUUUGUUGUUGUAAAAAUAUUUCACAGUUUGCAAGUUAAGAGAUUAUUACCAGUACAUACAAGGAAAAAAAAUUGUACAAGAACACAGGGCUGCAGUUAUGCAUUCUCAGGCAUAGGACAAAAUUGAGAUGCAUUAUGUAACAAAUUAAGAAUAAUUACAUCCUGUAUCCUGCCCCCCCCCCCCCCCCCCCCCCCCCCCAGGCCUUUGGACAAAGUGUCCCAGCUUUCCAGCUCUACCUGUGGCCCAGCUUAAACCUCUAUUCAUGUGCAAUCUUAACUUCUCCCAACAAACACCUUUGUGUGUCUGAAAUUCUGAGUUACCUGCUCCUGUCCAAAACCAAUUUCAGAGGUAGUUUUAAAGC